AAAAGCUCUGGAAAUGGGUGCUAUUGAGACACUUAUUGUGUGGGAAAAUCUGGAUAUUACUAGGUAUGUGCUGAAAAAUAGCGGUUCUGGAGAAACUGUUGUCAAACACUUGAACAAGGGGCAGGAGGCUGAUCAGAGUAACUUCCGUGAUCCUGCUACAAAUGCAGAAUUAGAGGUUCAGGAAAAAUUGUCACUGCUCGAGUGGUUUGCUAAUGAGUACAGGAAAUUUGGUUGU
Molecule: unclassified non-coding RNA, 235 nt
Filed under: Hevea brasiliensis (rubber tree)
Lineage: Eukaryota; Viridiplantae; Streptophyta; Magnoliopsida; Malpighiales; Euphorbiaceae
Source: RNAcentral